Molecule: ribosomal RNA, 154 nt
Filed under: Cunninghamella echinulata
Lineage: Eukaryota; Fungi; Mucoromycota; Mucoromycetes; Mucorales; Cunninghamellaceae
Description: 5.8S ribosomal RNA
Rfam family: 5.8S ribosomal RNA
About the family: 5.8S ribosomal RNA (5.8S rRNA) is a component of the large subunit of the eukaryotic ribosome. It is transcribed by RNA polymerase I as part of the 45S precursor that also contains 18S and 28S rRNA.
Source: RNAcentral
AACUUUCAGCAAUGGAUCUCUCGGCUUUCGUAUCGAUGAAGAACGCAGCAAAUCGCGAUAUUUAAUGUGAUCUGCCUAUAGUGAAUCAUCAAAUCUUUGAACGCAUCUUGCACCCUAUGGUAUUCCGUAGGGUACAUCUGUUUCAGUACCAUUC